RNAcentral lists this ribosomal RNA (363 nucleotides) under Triticum aestivum (bread wheat). Its description in RNAcentral is "partial small subunit ribosomal RNA". The record is from RNAcentral. Lineage: Eukaryota; Viridiplantae; Streptophyta; Magnoliopsida; Poales; Poaceae.
AUGGGACUCCUAUUUGUGCCCAUCUGCAACCACCUCUCUUCCUCCCUCACCCUCCUGGGCUUUUCUGGCAACCAAGAGAUGGAGCGCUUUACCAAGGAGCAAGAGGACGCCCUUCACCUCCUCGUAUACCUCCAAAAACUAAAGUUUAUCGACUUUAGCAAGCUUCAAAGCUUCCCUGCAGGGCUGCAAAAGCUCACAAACCUCAAGGAAUUAUCGGUCUACUCAUGUCCUGUUGUCCGUUCGCUGCCAGAGGAUGGCCUCCCCAAAUCACUUCAAGAAUUAAAUGUCAAGUACUGCGGCAACUCGGAGCUAAAACAGCAGUGCGAGGGGUUAGUGGGAAUCAUCCCAAAUAUCAGGCUUUAA